AGUGAACUUCCCGAUCUCAAGACGGCAGGAAAUCUAGAGCAGGUAGAGCUGAUUGAUAAGAUCCUUAGUGCUAUGUUGAAUGAAGUACAAGUGAUUGACAUUGAAACAGAAACAGACAGGUCACAAAGCCCUGGAUUGCCAUUGUCACACUCCUCAGUAUCAUUUCACUCAGAAAUAGAUGACCAAACCAAACUCACCGGUACUGCUGUUCUCCCUGAAGUGUUUAUCGAAAGGAUUUCCCCUCUUCUGACGCAUACUUUUGUUGACAUGGAUGCUGCUUCAUUGUCUCCUGGAUGUGUAAAUGAAACCAUCAGUAGUGUGUUAGACACCAUCUUAGAAUGGGAAAAAUGUGUACCCAUCACUGGAAGACUGGAGAAAUUGAUCACUGAAACACAAAUAGGUCAAUAUUCCUAUGAUAUUGCAGAUCGAGUACAUAAAACACUAAAAGGUUAUCAUGGUCUCCAGACCAUUUCCGUGCCAGUUGGAAAGAGUCUUUCAGAUUCUAUGCUUUGCAAAUUAACAUCUAGAGCUGAGGGAAAGAAUGAAAUUCCAUCAGAGUUCGUUUACAGUUAUGUAGAGGAGGCUGUGAAGCGACUACUCCUGUCAUGUUUGUUCCCCUCAGCAUCUUCUGAGAAUCAAGAACGUUUACAGAAUAAUCUAGAGACCUCAAAAUCAUCACCUGAGGUGUUUGGAAGUACAAUGAACGUAUUCACACAAGUGAUGACCAACGAAGUCAUGGUGGCACUCUCCACAGAGUCAAAGAAAAAUGUUUCUUCUGACUUGAAGGAAUUAGUUAAGGAGGAUCAGAAACUCUUAGACAAACGGGCACAGGACACUAAAACUAGAUCAUCCACCACUAACUCAAACAAUCUGCCCCCUCGUACUUUUGACGAACAUACAGAUUUGAUGCAAAAUAGUCAGUGUGAAGGAGUCGCCAGUUCAUGUCACCUACGUCUGUUAGAGUCCAACAAGAAAGACUUUGCCUCCUUGGUCUCCAUGCUGGUCAUUCGACUCCUGAAGAAAGUCAAUAGCUUACAAAAGGACAUUGGCACCCACCAGGAUGGACUUCCAGAUAAUGUGCUGGAUAUGUCCAGAGACUUGAUUCAGAAGAUUCUGUCUGAGCUCAAUACAGCGUUUGGCAUGACAGGCGAUGAAACCUAUCCUAAGGAUGUGAAUUUUCACCAGAUUUACAGAAACGUUUACAAAGAACUUACUCGACAGUUUGGGUCUGAAGAUGUGCUCCGUUUUGCCCUUGAAUCACAAGAUCAAUCUUUUGAAUCAUCACUGGUAGAAACGCUAACAAAAGAGAUAACAAAGACUUGUAGCCAAACCAGCAUACCAGCUUCUACACAUCUCCCUCCAAUUCAACCUACAGUUGGACAAGACCAAGGAAAGGAAAAGACCAGGAACAAAAUGUUUCCAGUUUGGCUCAAGAUGCCAACAAUCAAAUCGAAGAAACCAAAGAGAGGAUCACAGAGUCUCCUUGUAAGCCAGGCCUCUCCUGUUGCAAACACUAAGCUCAGUGAGACGCUGGCUCAGGUCACCAAGGCUCCUGUAUCUGCUGGCCCACUGGAGAUGCCACAGGAGGAAGAGACCGUAGGGUGCUGUUUCUUCAGGAUGCCGAAAUUUAAGUUCUCCUUCAAGGUGGAGUUUAGUUUCUAUAUGAGAUGUUAUUGUAAUUUUAGACAUUAUGUGUACUAAUGCUGAUCAGAGAGGCUACUGAGUGAAGAACACAUUGGUGUAACAUGAUCUGUGAGUAUGCAGUUUAGAUAUUUAUUUAUUCAUUACAAUUUGAAUCUGAAAUGAUUUAAUCUCUCUCUUACUUUAUCAGAAAAUAAGGAAAGGUGCUAAAAUUGGCCAUUGUGACGAUGAUAAGUCCUUUGAAGAGAACAUCAAUGUCUCAGCCUGUGCAACAUCUUGUCAGACUCGGUUCAAUGAGGCUACUGCUGAACUGACUGCUUCUGAGAGCCAAACUAAACUGGAAGAGACUGCAUCUAGACUGACCAACACAUCUACUCCAAAGAUGGGACUGUCUCACCUAGCUGUUUAAGUCACCGACACAGCUCAAUGAUCCUUUGAAUCAUCGGAUCCUCUAAGAACUCUUCGGUCCUUUCAACUACAUUUUUUUGAACCCCAAUCUGGCUAUUUUAAUUAAACGUAUUAUUGCAUGCAUAUUGGUGUAACUUUGCCAUUUGUUGGGUACUAUAGGGAUGACUACAUACAGUGGCGCUGGGAAGCUUGUGAAUCUGUUGGAGGUUCUUGAAAGUUCUUGAACAACAGCUUUUAGUUGAUUUUAAUCUCAUAUUAAAAUAUCAAAUCAUAUGAAUCUAACUG
Long non-coding RNA from Clupea harengus (Atlantic herring), 2334 nucleotides. NCBI's taxonomy places the organism in Eukaryota, Metazoa, Chordata, Actinopteri, Clupeiformes, Clupeidae. The record is from Ensembl.